GUGGUCAGUAGCGUCAGCUUUGUUGUGGUGUACGCGUGAGUCUUGUGUUUUCUUGAACGCUUAUUUGAGCUUUAGGUGAACCAAAACUCUCUAAAAGCCUGUGCACAGUGGUCAGCAGCUGUGACACAAGGAGCAGCUCUCUCAGCGACGGGGAGCGGUGGACGGCGGAUGAAUACUUCGACUCCCGCGCCUUCUUCCGCAUCAUGUCCGACCCGCCGAUCCUGGUGGUGGGCGGCGUGCGUCAGAGGAGUUGAAAAAUGUGAGAGAAGACACAGUAUGUUGAGGGAAGGCAGCUGCACCAGUGACAGCAGCAGCAGAGCCCCACCACUGCUGCUGCUCCUCUCCUCUUCCCAGCACAGCAGCACACAGGACACAUUUCCAUCAUCUUUAAAUCCCGGACACUUGUGACUUGGUGAUAAUCUCACAGCAGCAAACCCUACAUUGCUCAGGUCAACUUCCAGCUAGAAUCAUAAUAUCUUGAGUUAUUUUUCCACAAAGAAGGAUUCAAAAUAUCCCACCAAAAAAUAAGAUAUUUUUAGAAAUGAAAAUCCACUCGAAUUUUCUGCCUGAAGCUCUCGUUAAAAUGACUCCCUCUUGAAUCUUGUGUCCGACUCCUACUGUGUCCAAGAGAACGGGUCUCCAGUUUGUAGUGAGACUUCCGAGCCGCCCAGACCUGUGAAGGCGAGCAGUCCGUCAGAUGAUGAGAGUAGACAACAUAAGCAACAUAAUGAGAGACAAAGUCACAAUAAUAGAGAUAAAAUGAAGGCACUCAAGUAUUAAUGAGAAAACAAGACAGAAUAAUGAGCAAAGUAAAAUAAUGAGACAGUAAGGCCAGUCAACAAAUAAUAGUGAAUUUACUGUAGGAAGGGUCUGCUGUACUACUUAAUGACCAUUCAAGUCUUCUUGUUAAAGAUGUGUUUACACUUUGAAGUGUCAUUUUCUUGUACUAUGAUACAUUUUUAACUAUUUUCUUCCACCUGCCUUAGUUAACAUUGAGUAGAGUCUCACUAAUAUAACUUGAAUAUUACUCAGCCGGCAGUCUUUGCCAUGGUGGAGUGUGACACUGAAUCAGUACUGACAUUUUAUCAUUUAUAUUUCAUUACUUUGAUUACUCAACAAAAUACUGCAUUGUUUUUUGUAACCUGCUGACUGGUGAAGGGACAACGUGUGCUCCUCAACACUUGGUUCUUGCCACGUGCCGCAGCAGACUGACAGCUUCCAGUGGGCCUGUCUGAGGGGCGUGACCUCUGCCGCAUUGCUUCAGCAGCCUUCAAGUCCCGGCAGUGAAACGGUUCGUGUGAGGAAGACUGCUUCUGGUGCUACAGGUGGAAAUUGUUACUAGUGUGUAAAUAUGUGGUAAAUAUCUGUGGAAACCAAAGGAUGUUUUCUCUCGUACCAAACGUUAUGAUCAUGGAGAUACCUCUCUUCCUGCACACAAAACAACUACAACCACCUAAUUAUUACACACACACUCCUACACCAGCCUCGGAGUCCCCAUCUGGUAACAACCCUAAAUGUCUUGACACCCCUCUCAGUUUUUCUUCUUAAACUUCUACAACAUUCACGUUCAAUCUGUAGAAAACUGCCUCUCCUCUAUUAAGCUUCAUCAUCCUUUCCUCACUGAAACUCUGGUGUCUGAGGCAACUGACAGUAGCCCCUUUUCAGUUUCCUCUUACUUUCUCUAUCCAAAGCUGGAUGUUGUGUUUAUGUGCGCAAUGAAAUUAACCUGCUUUCGUGCCCACGCUCUUGAAUCUUUCGGGUUUUCCACCACCUGGCUACGACUACAGAGUCACUCUCAUACUAAAUUUAUCUGUGUUGUAUACCUUUCACCUAAUUCCUCUGACUGUAAGAAAUUCUUUGACUACUUAACUUCCAAAGUGGAGCACAUUCCAACUCUCUUCCCUUUUGCAGGGAUCUCCAUUCUUGGAGACUUCAAUGUUCACCACCAGCUUUGGCUUUCCUCUCCCUUCACUGACCAUCCUGGUGAACUAGCCUUCAACUUUGCUAUCCUCCAUGACCUAGAGCAAUUGGUGCAACACUCUAAUCGUAUUCCUGACCGUCUUGGAGAUAUGCCCAACAUUCUUGACCUUUUCCUGACCUCUAAUCCUUCUGCUUAUUCUGUUACCCUCUCUUCUCUGUUGGGCUCUCCGAUCACAUCUAGUAUCUGUAUCUUGUCCUAUCACUCCAAUCCCUCCUCAGGAUCCCCUAAGUGAAGGUGCCUCUGGCGUUUUGCCUCUGCUAGUUGGGGGAACCUGAGGAGGUAUUUUGCUGAUUUUCCUUGGAAUGACACUACUGCUUCCGUGACGGAGACCGUCCUGUGUGCCGAGUGCAUAAGAGGUGAUAGUGUCUGGCAUGGAGGCGUACAUUCCUCACUCUUUUUCUCGACCUAAACCUCCAAAACUUGGUUUAACACAGCUUGUUCUCGUGCUAUACAUGAGAGAGAGGUGGCCCACGAAAGGUGCUAAAGCCUUCCAUCACCAGAAUCUCAUGCACUUUACAUUUCUGCCCGGAACCAUGCCAAGUCUGUUCUCCAACUAGCCAAAAACUCCUUCAUUAAUAGUGUCAAUAGGGAAGAAGGGGUAGUGAGAAGGCGAGGGGCAAAAUAGUUAAAUCUAGAAAGGUAGCUAGCUCAGGGAUGGUGAGAAAUAGCUUAAGUAUUUACUACACAAACUGUAGAAGUAUUCUGAAUAAAAUAGACUUGCUUAGAGGAAUAGCGAGCGUUGAGAAAUUUGAUAUCAUUGCUUUAACUGAAACUUGGUUAGAUAUGUCAGGAAAAGUAUUUAAUCCAGAGGUUAAGAUAGAUGGGUAUACAAUGUUCUAUAAAGAUAGGGAAAACAGGAGAGGAGGAGGCGUCGCGUUAUACGUUAGGGACACAUUACAGUGUUGUAUCAACAGUAGAAUUAAAACAGAUAACAAAGAGUCGAUAUGGGUAGAUAUUAAAGAAGGAUCGCAGUCAGUAGUACUAGGGGUAGUUUACAGAUCACCGACCAGUACAGAGGAAAUUAACACCUCACUGUGGCAGGAAUUAAAUAGAGCAGGCAGAUACAGUCAGGUAUGUGUGGUAGGAGAUUUUAAUUUUAGGAAUAUCGACUGGAGUCUGAUGGUGGGUAACAAGGAAGCAGAGGAAUUUCUUAAGGUAAUUCAGGAUAAUUUUUUAAAACAGGUAGUCGUAGAACCUUCAAGGGGGAAUAAUAUUCUAGAUUUAAUUCUUACUAGCAGGGAGGAAGCAGUCACGCAGGUAGAGGUUGGAAGACAGCUAGGUAACAGUGACCAUAGGGAAAUUAGGUACAAUUUAGAAUGGGAUGAAACAGUUAGACACAAAAACACUAGUAAAAUACCGGACUUUAGGAGAGUAAAUUUUGAAGAAUUAAAAAGGUACCUCCAAGGAGUGGACUGGCAAAGGAUGCAGGGUGAGGUCAGGUCAGGGACGGAGUUCAGAGAGAUAAGGCAGGAUGGGAGGUGCGGUGAGGCGAGGGUGUAGGACAAGAGGAGGGAAGAUGUGUCCGGAAAGGAGGAGGAAAGAGGAAGGGGGGAGAUAGGUGUGAGUAUGUUGGAAUGUCAGGUCAUGCUGAAAUGAGAGAGGUAAGGUCGAGGCGAGUAGAUGAGGGAGUGGAGAGGAUGGUAGGGGACGAGAUGAGGGGUCUAGGUGAAGUAAAUGGAGAUGAAUUGUAUAAAUAUUUCGUAGAUAAAGUUCAUACAGGUCAGUUAGCAAAUAUCCCGUAUAGAACAAUAAGAUCACAAAAAAAUGACCCUAAAUGGAUGACUGCUAGGUUAAAGCAUUAUAUAGGGCGUAAGAGAAGUAUAUAUAAGAGAUUAAGGGCAGGUGAAGAAGUUUUAAGGACACAAUAUAAUGAAUUAGAACAGUCAGGAAGUUAACGAGGAAAGCUAAGGACAAUUAUGAAUCAAAGGUAGCCAGCCAGGCGAAGACGGACCCCAAGGGAUUUUAUCAGGUAUACAGGACGAAGAAUAAGGAUACUGUAGGUCCAUUAAAGGCAGCAGAUGGGGAGCUGGUUAGUUCUGGGGAGGAGAUUAGUAAACUUCUGAAUGAUUAUUUUUUAACUGUCUUCACCCAGGAAAACAUGCAGGAUAUGCCAGAUAGUGAACAGGUGUUUAGAGCAGAUGAGAAUGAGAAGCUGACAGAUAUUUCCAUAACUAGGGAGAUAGUGGAACAGGAGAUAGAUAGGCUAAAAAAGUUCAAGUCACCAGGACCUGAUGAAAUAUAUCCCAGAGUACUUAAGGAAUGUAAAGAGAUUAUUAGUGAGCCGUUAGUUUCUGUCUUUAGGAAAUCACUGGAGUCGGAUGAGGUACCAGUAAUGUGGAGGCAGGCUAAUGUAGUACCCAUCUUUAAGAAAGGAGAUAAAACUUUAGCGUCUAAUUAUAGACCUGUCAGCUUAACUUCAGUUGUAGGUAAAAUGUUAAAGUCUGUAAUAGCGAGGAACAUUAGGGAACAUUUAGACAAACAUAACUUGAUAAAUCAGUCACAGCAUGGCUUCACGAAGGGGAAGUCUUGCCUGACAAACUUGUUAAGUUUUUACAGUAAGGUGUACGAGGCAGUAGAUAAUGGUGAUAGUUAUGAUAUCUUAUAUCUGGACUUUAGUAAAGCAUUCAACAAGGUGCCCCAUCAAAGGCUCCUGAGAAAGGUUAGGGCACACGGGAUAGAUGGGAAGGUGUUAGGCUGGAUAGGGUCAUGGCUUAGUGACAGGCGACAGAGAGUGCUAAUAAACGGCUCGAAAUCCGAGUGGGGUCAUGUAAUUAGUGGGGUGCCACAGGGAUCAGUAUUAGGGCCAUUGUUAUUUCUAAUGUAUAUCAAUGACUUGGAUACUGGAAUUAGUAGUGAUGUUAGUAAAUUUGCGGAUGACACAAAGAUAGGUAGAUUAAUUAGGUCAGAAUCGGAUGCCAUCGCCUUGCAGGCAGACUUAGAUAGAAUGAAUGAAUGGACGGAUAGAUGGCAAAUGCAAUUUAAUAUCAAUAAAUGCAAAGUGCUUAGCGUAGGUAGAGGAAAUCCACACAAUAGGUACACAUUACACAACCAAACUCUGGUAGGUACAGGGUACGAGAAAGAUUUAGGAGUUAUAGUUAGCUCUGAACUCCGUCUAGGGAAACAAUGCAUAGAAGCCAGAAACAAGGCAAAUAGGGUACUAGGAUUCAUUUUUAGGAGUGUUAAAAGUAGAAGGCCGGGAGUAAUAUUAAAAUUAUACUUGGCGCUGGUCACACCUCAUCUAGACUACGCGGUGCAGUUCUGGUCCCCACAUUACAGGAAAGAUAUAGGUCUAUUAGAAUCAGUACAGAGGAGAAUGACUAAAAGGAUACAGGGGAUGAGGAGUAUUCCUUACGAGGCGAGGUUGAAGCUGUUAAAUUUACAUUCUUUAGAGAGACGUAGGUUAAGAGGGGACCUGAUAGAAGUCUUUAAGUGGUAUAAGGGUUAUAACAAGGGAGAUGUAAGCAAAAUUCUUAGGAUCAGCAACCAGGGUAGAACAAGAAAUAACGGGUUCAAGCUUGAAAAAUUUAGGUUUAGGAAGGAGAUAGGAAGAAAUUGGUUCUCAAAUAGAGUGGUAGAUGAGAGGAACGGACUCAGUAAUCAUGUAGUUAGUGCUAGGACACUAGAGAGCUUUAAGAGAAGAUUAGACAAGUUUAUGGAUGGGGAUAGCAGAUGGAAAUAGGUAGGUGUGUUUCAUACAGGGACUGCCACGUGUAAGCCUGGUCGCUUCUUGCAGCUUCUCUUAUUUCUUAUGUUCUUCUUAUGUUCUAAACCUUUCAAGAUCUAACCCCGUGACUUCUGCCACUUAACCCAAAAACAUCUAUAAUAACUUUGAUUCUUCUUUCCCUCCCUUAUUUCAACCAGAUGGCACCACUGCUAUGACAUAUAUCUCUAAAGCUGAACUCUUUGCUCAAUCCUUUGCUACAAACUCUACCUUGGACGAUUCAAGGUUUGUUCCUCCCUCUCCUCCACUAGCGUAGACAAGACUGUCGGUAUACAAUGGACAUGACACGCUGAGGCAGCUGGUACAGCUUUGGCUCUAAAUGUUAUAAUAAUACUCUGCCACUUUGUUGACAAGUGACAAUACAACCUCUCGUUCCUCAGACUGUUCUUUUCACGUAACAGCCUCAAACCAAAUCCUGAAAUACUGAACCAACAUGAACCACCUCUGCUAUCAAGUAGUCAGCACUGUGAAGGGCUGUACAGUUCCUUACCUCACUAAAUAAUACUUCUUUCUGAUCCAAUGUGUCUGUCUGUUUGUCUGCUACCAUGGCUUGACCUGCUCUUCUUUCAUCUGUAGCUUCCAUUCUGUCUGCCGUCUCCUUGCAUCCCCUUGUCCACCACACCAUCCUCUCUUGUGUGUCUGCUGCCACUGUCUAUCUAGAAAAAAAUGUUUUCUGCCAAACCUUGAACUAGUACAACAUGAACCACCUGUGGUCUAAUCUUUCUCCAGCAUUUCUUCUGUCCACUGUCACUGUCUGAACCAUUCACCUAACACACCAUCCUUCCUGCCACGGUCAUUCCUCUCUGAUGCUCUUCUCUUUCUCCCUCUCUCAGCGUGGUGGCAGCACGGGCCUCGGCACUCCCUGGCACCACGGCAGGUGUCAGUGAGGCAGGCAGGUGUUGGUUCAAGUCCUGGCAGUGUCACUUCGCUGCUGUAUUGUUUUGUGCAGCGGAUGAUGCUACGUUUUUCAUCACUUAGUGUAGAGUUUAUUUUUGCCUGACGUUAUUUGUGUUGGAAAGACAUUUCCAUUAUAUAGUGGUAGAUACUCUAGGAAAUAAGGAAUUAGCAAUACUAAUACAUGCUUGAACAACACUCACCGGUGUGGAAGGCUUGUCAGGGAGUGGCUGUAGUGGCUUCACUUGAACCACGACCAUGUUCUCCUCAACCCUUGGAAAGAUAACAAUUUAUCUGAAAUGGAGAUACAAAGAUAGAGAAAAAUUUAAGUGAGACACUGCAAAGUGUAGCUGACAGUGUACGCGUCGUCAUCAAGAAGAGGGGCUCUGCAAAGAAAUAGUAAGACACUCGUGAAGGCUACCAUCUUUUCUCAAGGGAAGUGUGUGUCGUGUUUCUUAACAUCGUCAGGCGCGCAAACAUGUUUUGCAUCAAGGGUGUCGUUGUACGAUCCGGAUAUGAAUUUUUUUUUCUUUUUUUAUUUUCUACAUUCUUUUUCCCAUUUUU
This is a long non-coding RNA of Scylla paramamosain (green mud crab), 7160 nucleotides long. RefSeq lists it as uncharacterized. The record is from RefSeq and is a predicted model, not a curated record. NCBI's taxonomy places the organism in Eukaryota, Metazoa, Arthropoda, Malacostraca, Decapoda, Portunidae. The transcript has 4 exons.